AGCGUGGUAGCUUAGAGGUCAAGCACUUGACUUGCAAUCUGCAGGUCCUGGGUUCGAAUCCCACCAUGUAC
RNAcentral lists this transfer RNA (71 nucleotides) under Papilio xuthus (Asian swallowtail). It matches the Rfam family "tRNA". Rfam says of the family: Transfer RNA (tRNA) molecules are approximately 80 nucleotides in length. Their secondary structure includes four short double-helical elements and three loops (D, anti-codon, and T loops). The record is from Rfam by way of RNAcentral. Lineage: Eukaryota; Metazoa; Arthropoda; Insecta; Lepidoptera; Papilionidae.